UAAGUGGAAAGCGGCGGACGGGUGAGUAACGCGUGGGUAACCUGCCCCAUACAAAGGGAUAGCCACUGGAAACGGUGAUUAAUACCAUAUGAGAUCGUAGAGUCGCAUGACUCAGCGGUUAAAGAUUUAUCGGUAUGGGAUGGACCCGCGUCUGAUUAGCUAGUUGGUAAGGUAACGGCUUACCAAGGCGACGAUCAGUAGCCGACCUGAGAGGGUGAUCGGCCACACUGGAACUGAGACACGGUCCAGACUCCUACGGGAGGCAGCAGUGGGGAAUAUUGCACAAUGGGCGCAAGCCUGAUGCAGCAACGCCGCGUGAGCGAUGAAGGCCUUCGGGUCGUAAAGC
This 346-nucleotide ribosomal RNA is filed under the name uncultured bacterium. Its description in RNAcentral is "bacterial SSU rRNA". It matches the Rfam family "Bacterial small subunit ribosomal RNA", at positions 85 to 431 of the family's 1533-position model. The record is from RNAcentral.